This is a long non-coding RNA of Phragmites australis (common reed), 2415 nucleotides long. RefSeq lists it as uncharacterized. The transcript has 7 exons. The record is from RefSeq and is a predicted model, not a curated record. Lineage: Eukaryota; Viridiplantae; Streptophyta; Magnoliopsida; Poales; Poaceae.
ACUGCCCUCAUGGUGAGAACCAGUAUGGGCCAUUCAUUUGACGGCGACUAUGGUUACUUGAUGUCGGCCCAUCCACGGUGAGUUACGGCGACGGUGACUCGAGUUGUGGCGAUGGCAUCUCGAUUCGCGGAGCCGCCUGGCGCCAGGAGGGGACGAAGCCGGCGGCAGGUGAGGCGGAGGCGGUGAGGUUGCUCGCUUCGCGACGGUGGCGGCUCGACUCACGGCUGUGGCGGCUCGAGGCUGUUCGAUUACCGGCGGCGGCGGAGACAGCUCGAUUCGCGACGGUAGGUGCUCAACUCGCGGCAGCGGCGACAGCUUGACCUGCGGCGGCGGCGGCUCGUCUCGCGGCGGUUUGAUUGGCAGGGACGGCGGGUCCAUUCACGGUGGCGUGGGGCUCAAUGCGCCGCUAAGGCGGAUCGGCGAGGAGCUCCAACGGGUUCGAUUCACGUUGGACAGGCGGUCCACGGCCGUGCCGCCGUCGGGCGUUGGCGUGCGGACAUCGCACAUGUUCUGCAAGACGCUCAUGGCCUCCGACACCAGCACGCACGACGGCUUCUCCGUGCCGUGCCGCGCCGUCGAGGACUGCUUCCCACCGCUGAACUACAGCCUGCAGAGGCCGUCUCAGGAGCUCGUUGCCGAAGAUUUGCACGGCACCGAGUGGAAGUUCCGACAUAUCUAUCGACGUACGGCAAGGGAGUUUCUUCAUUAGUAUAUGAGCUGCACUGGCCAGCCACGAAGACACCUCUUAACCACCGGAUAGAGUGCGUUUGUCAAUAAGAAGAAGCUGGUCUCUGGGGAUGCAGCUCUGUUCCUUCGAGGUGAAGAUGGAGUGCUUCGAUUGGGAGUGCGCCGAGCAGCUCAGCUAAAAAUGUAAUCCCUAUCCCUGCACUUCAUAACCAGUGCUCAAAUCAUAGGAAUCUGGGAAAUAUCGCACAAGCUGUGGCCAUGAAGUCUGUUUUUCAUAUACACUACAAUCCCUGGGAAGAAAUGUACUUUUCUGGUUGUUUUCUUAACUUUACAGAGGGCUGUAUUGACAAUGUUGGAUUGGCACACAACUUUAGUUGUGCUAGAACAAGUUAUGCAUGUCAUUUAUGGAAGCUUAAAUUGUAGCAAAAUGUGACCACUUAUUCUUGUUCCUUAACGGCAUGCUCAAAGCCAUUUACUAGCGAGCAGACUAUGAUAGCUUGCUUGUACAUGCUUCGAAAAUUCGCUGACCCGAGAAUCCAGUGCUGCCUGUUUUCAAGUAUCUAAUCCAAUCUUUUAGUAUCUCAAUAGUGGCUGCUGUAGUGCAGCAGUUGACUAUCCAAAAACCAACCCCCUCCUGGCCAUGACAAAUGGUAAAAAUGAUCCCUUUUGUUUCACCUCCUUGGCCCUGCCACGUUAUCUUGUGUCUCCAUACAUGCAAGUUUAACUAUGGCACGUGAUCAUCAGAAAUGAUGACACAGUGCACAUUUGAGGUUGCCAUUUAGAUUUCAAGGUGUUUUUUGGAUUAUAUGUUUCAAUGUUGAUAAGUAAUGAUGUUAUUAAUAUCAAAUAAUAUGGAUUCCUUUUGUUCUACUUCUUAGUUCUUUUGUGUGUGAAGAUUUAAAUGUGUUGAUAGUUAGAAGUGUGAACAUAAUUUUAGAUAUACUUUUUCCUACUCAUCUCUCUUCUUGUUGGAGCAUGUCGCGAUCCCAGUUCCUGCCUUUAAUAAAUGACUUGAACUCACAGGUUAAGUCAAAUGAAUUCAUUAUACCCUAUUGGAAGUUCAUGAGAAGCUUCAACCAAACAUUUUCAGUUGGAAUGGGAUGCAGAAUGAGAUAUGAAAGUGAAGAUGCUUAUAAAAGAAGGUGCACUGGGAUAAUAAUUGGAAGCAGAGAGGCAGACCCCAUGUGGCAUGGUUCAAAAUGGGAAUGUUUUGUGUGGAUGAGAUGUACCUAGCAUCCCUAAUUAACAAAGGUAGUGAGGCAUACAUAAGUGGUACAACAAACCCUAUUGCUCUUCCUGCAGAGACUGUACUGAAGAUGGCUACUCUUAAUGGUGCAAAAGAACUUCUGUGGGAUAUUAAUGAAAUAGGAUCUCUGGAGGUUGGAAAAAGGUGACGCUCCUAGUUACUAUUAUGUUCGUGUAUGGUGCUCAAUAACUUUGCUCCAUAUAUUUUGGAGGUAUAUACUGUAGAAGUUAAGCCGUGGAGCUUUGGUUUGACUAAUGCAGACGAAUCCCAGGUUGACUACUUUCAAGAAGCAGCUCUUGAGAAGAGGAUACUCUAGGUUUUGCGUAACCUUGUGCGUGAUCUCUGUUUAGUCGAACUUUCAGGAAAUAUUUUGUAGUGCAGAAUCAACAAAGAGGGGCCAUCUUGUUGCCGUGUAUAUGUUCAUAUUGUAGCAAUUUAUAUUCAUUUUUUUAGUUCGAAAGCCAAAAGGUGAUAUAUCAAAA